AUUGAACGCUAGCGGGAUGCCUUACACAUGCAAGUCGAACGGCAGCGCGGACUUCGGUCUGGCGGCGAGUGGCGAACGGGUGAGUAAUGUAUCGGAACGUGCCCAGUAGCGGGGGACAACCACUCGAAAGAGUGGCUAAUACCGCAUACGCCCUACGGGGAAAGGGGGGGAGUCGCAAGACCUCUCACUAUUGGAGCGGCCGAUAUCGGAUUAGCUAGUUGGUGGGGUAAAGGCCUACCAAGGCGACGAUCCGUAGCUGGUUUGAGAGGACGACCAGCCACACUGGGACUGAGACACGGCCCAGACUCCUACGGGAGGCAGCAGUGGGGAAUUUUGGACAAUGGGGGAAACCCUGAUCCAGCCAUUCCGCGUGUGCGAUGAAGGCCUUCGGGUUGUAAGCACUUUGGUCAGGAAAGAAAUCGUGUGGGUUAA
Molecule: ribosomal RNA, 432 nt
Filed under: uncultured bacterium
Lineage: Bacteria
Description: bacterial SSU rRNA
Rfam family: Bacterial small subunit ribosomal RNA
Source: RNAcentral